Long non-coding RNA from Physcomitrium patens, 1312 nucleotides. RefSeq lists it as uncharacterized. The record is from RefSeq and is a predicted model, not a curated record. NCBI's taxonomy places the organism in Eukaryota, Viridiplantae, Streptophyta, Bryopsida, Funariales, Funariaceae.
UCCUCACCGGUGAAGUGGCUUCCAGCCGAAUUGGGUGCUGCUCCUCCUGCAGUUCCAGCUCAGGAUUGUUUCCCAUUCCAGGUUCACUCCAGACAAACCCCUAGAUCCUUAUCGUCGUUGCUUCGCUCGUGCACUCCGAGCUGUUUUGCCUAUCCCCGCUGCCAUCCUGCUCUCCGCGUGUUCUACUUUGCGGUGCACACACACACACACAGAGACGAAGAAAAUCUGAGCUCGUCCUAACACACUACCACCGCUUACGUCUGCUCUACAUCCCCCUGACGAGCAAAACUUUUCGAGAGAGUGAUCGCCGUCUCUUUCUUCCUGCAUGUGGACUCCUCUUUCGAACAAUCUAUUGUGUCAUCAAUCGUCUUCAUCGUUGAUAUUUCUUGUUCGCAUCCUUCUCUGCAUUGGGCGGCAGUUUGCAAUCAAGAUUGAGGGGACACUCGGACGGAGCCUUGCAGAUUUGAUGAUAUUGUUAAAUCUGGAGGCUGUCCCAUCGUCUUGGUUCACCAGCUUUGGAUUGUAUAAGAUUGCUACAAGAUGGAGCACGGGGUGGUUUGGUGUUACACGAGGAGCUGACUUGCAGCUCAGCCCUCAGCCAGCGGAACCCUGUGCGCCAUUGUCUUUGUGCUCUUCAUUGCAGCGGACAGGAUCUUCCACAAUUGUUUUUUACAGGACUCGCUCUCACAGAAGCCAAUCCAAAUGGAAACUUAUUGACAGCUGUAGGAAAAUUCAUGUUAUAAAGCGACCGAUUAAAGUAUGGAACUAAGGAACGUCAAGGCUUUCAUAAGACGCUCCAUGCGCACAGUGCGAGCUGACUCAGCUGCACUUUGUCCACUCUUUGGCUGCACAGAUGAUUUCAAAGCAACCCUCGGACGUGUCUAAAUACAUCAAUGAAACUAUAUGGAACAAUUCUUUACUUUUGCAUAGAGUUGUUACAGUUCCAUGAUCACUCCACUCCUCCUUCUCAAGCCAAUUGCAAAGGACUACUACCGCAGGAAACAAUUGGCUGCAGUAUGGAACUCAUCCGUUCUUGUGCAAUUGGCUCAACACACUCCUUCAUGAAUUGGAAUGCAAAUAAAAUGGCUUGUAUCACAAACGGCGGUUUAUCUCUGGUCCAUAUGAAUUGCAACUGCUCUACUUUUCUAAUUUUUGUGGAAUUCGGUGCUGGACAUGGAGUUGUGGUGUUGAUUCGUCUCAAAGGGCCAGGCUGGGUAUUUGCAUGAGCAGUCGUACAGGGAAGAGGCAGAUGACUGAGCUGCAGAGACAAUAAUAUAAAUAAAGCCUGCAGGUUGUUGCCUGCCUGCCUACG